RNAcentral lists this ribosomal RNA (253 nucleotides) under uncultured bacterium. Its description in RNAcentral is "partial 16S ribosomal RNA". It matches the Rfam family "Bacterial small subunit ribosomal RNA", at positions 524 to 776 of the family's 1533-position model. The record is from RNAcentral.
UACGUAGGGUGCGAGCGUUGUCCGGAAUUACUGGGCGUAAAGAGCUCGUAGGUGGUUUGUCGCGUUGUCCGUGAAAACUCACAACUCAAUUGUGGGCGUGCGGGCGAUACGGGCAGACUGGAGUACUGCAGGGGAGACUGGAAUUCCUGGUGUAGCGGUGGAAUGCGCAGAUAUCAGGAGGAACACCGGUGGCGAAGGCGGUUCUCUGGGCCUGUACUGACGCUGAGGAACGAAAGCGUGGGGAGCGAACAGG